RNAcentral lists this ribosomal RNA (589 nucleotides) under uncultured bacterium. RNAcentral's name for it is "bacterial SSU rRNA". It matches the Rfam family "Bacterial small subunit ribosomal RNA", at positions 336 to 916 of the family's 1533-position model. The record is from RNAcentral.
CUCCUACGGGAGGCAGCAGUGGGGAAUCUUUCGCAAUGGACGCAAGUCUGACGAAGCAACGCCGCGUGAGUGAGGAAGGCCCUUUGGGUUGUAAAGCUCUGUUGCCGGGGAAGAAAGUUAGUGUAAGGAAAUGUGCAUUAAUUGACGGUACCUGGUGAGGAAGCACUGGCUAACUACGUGCCAGCAGCCGCGGUAAUACGUAGAGUGCAAGCGUUGUCCGGAAUCAUUGGGCGUAAAGGGUACGCAGGCGGAUAUGCAAGGCAAAUGUGAAAGGUGUAGGCUUAACCUACAGACUGCGUUUGAAACUGUAUAUCUUGAGAGCAGCAGAGGAAGGCGGAAUUCCUGGUGUAGUGGUGAAAUACGUAAAUAUCAGGAAGAACACCAGUGGCGAAGGCGGUCUUCUGGGCUGCAUCUGACGCUCAUGUACGAAAGCUGGGGCAGCGAACGGGAUUAGAUACCCCGGUAGUCCCAGCUGUAAACGAUGGACACUAGGUGUUGGAGGUUCGAAUCCUUCAGUGCCGGAGUUAACGCAUUAAGUGUCCCGCCUGGGGGAUACGGUCGCAAGACUGAAACUCAAAGGAAUGGACGG